UACAGAGGUCCCGAGCGUUGUUCGGAUUCACUGGGCGUAAAGGGUGCGCAGGUGGGUUAGCAAGUUUGAUGUGAAAGCCCCGGGCUUAACCCGGGAAUGGCAUUGAAUACUGCUGAUCUGGAGGAUCGGAGGGGGGACUGGAAUUCUUGGUGUAGCAGUGAAAUGCGUAGAUAUCAAGAGGAACACCAGUGGCGAAGGCGAGUCCCUGGACGAUACCUGACACUGAGGCACGAAAGCCAAGGGAGCAAACAGG
RNAcentral lists this ribosomal RNA (253 nucleotides) under uncultured bacterium. RNAcentral's name for it is "partial 16S ribosomal RNA". It matches the Rfam family "Bacterial small subunit ribosomal RNA", at positions 524 to 776 of the family's 1533-position model. The record is from RNAcentral.